GAUGAACGCUAGCGGCAGGCUUAAUACAUGCAAGUCGAGGGGCAGCGGGAAUAGCAAUAUUUGCCGGCGACCGGCGCACGGGUGCGUAACACGUAUACAAUCUGCCUCUUACUGGAGGAUAGCCCGGAGAAAUUCGGAUUAAUACUCCAUAACAGCUGAAUAGGCAUCUAUUUGGCUUGAAAGCUCCGGCGGUAAGAGAUGAGUAUGCGACUGAUUAGCUUGUUGGUGUGGUAACGGCUCACCAAGGCUACGAUCAGUA
Molecule: ribosomal RNA, 259 nt
Filed under: uncultured bacterium
Lineage: Bacteria
Description: partial 16S ribosomal RNA
Rfam family: Bacterial small subunit ribosomal RNA
Source: RNAcentral